UUUUAAACUAUGAUAGAGAGAGUAGAUAUAGGAAUUUUCAAAGGGAGAAAAAGUCGUAGAUUGAAAGCUUUUUCAAAAGGAAUAUAUUGAAGUUCACUCUGGAGUUCUAAUUGUGAAUUUAGUAGCAAUUAGCGGCAUAUGUCGAUAAAAGUUUGAGAGAACUGAAAGAUUUAUUCAGUUAAUAAGGGUGGUAACGCGGAAUAACUUCGUCCCUAGG
Molecule: non-coding RNA, 217 nt
Filed under: Clostridium botulinum
Lineage: Bacteria; Bacillati; Bacillota; Clostridia; Eubacteriales; Clostridiaceae
Description: T-box sequence
Rfam family: T-box leader
About the family: Uncharged tRNA acts as the effector for transcription antitermination of genes in the T-box leader family. T-boxes are found upstream of many aminoacyl-tRNA synthetase genes and some amino acid biosynthetic genes usually in Gram-positive bacteria.
Source: RNAcentral